UAGGGAAUCUUCGGCAAUGGGGGGAACCCUGACCGAGCAACGCCGCGUGAGUGAAGAAGGUUUUCGGAUCGUAAAGCUCUGUUGUUAAGGAAGAACGAGUGUGAGAAUGGAAAGUUCAUGCUGUGACGGUACUUAACCAGAAAGGGACGGCUAACUACGUGCCAGCAGCCGCGGUAAUACGUAGGUCCCGAGCGUUGUCCGGAUUUAUUGGGCGUAAAGCGAGCGCAGGCGGUUAGAAAAGUCUGAAGUGAAAGGCAGUGGCUCAACCAUUGUAGGCUUUGGAAACUGGUUAACUUGAGUGCAGUAGGGGAGAGAGGAAUUCCAUGUGUAGCGGUGAAAUGCGUAGAUAUAUGGAGGAACACCGGUGGCGAAAGCGGCUCUCUGGUCUGUAACUGACGCUGAGGCUCGAAAGCGUGGGGAGCGAACAGG
Molecule: ribosomal RNA, 429 nt
Filed under: Bacteroidota bacterium
Lineage: Bacteria; Pseudomonadati; Bacteroidota
Description: Bacteroidetes bacterium partial 16S ribosomal RNA
Rfam family: Bacterial small subunit ribosomal RNA
Source: RNAcentral